This 253-nucleotide ribosomal RNA is filed under the name uncultured bacterium. RNAcentral's name for it is "partial 16S ribosomal RNA". It matches the Rfam family "Bacterial small subunit ribosomal RNA", at positions 524 to 776 of the family's 1533-position model. The record is from RNAcentral.
GACAGAGGGUGCAAACGUUGUUCGGAUUUACUGGGCGUAAAGCGUGUGUAGGCGGCUUCGCAAGUUGGAUGUGAGAUCCCACGGCUCAACCGUGGACGUGCAUCCAAAACUGCGUCGCUAGAGUCUCGGAGAGGAAGGUGGAAUGCUUGGUGUAGAGGUGAAAUUCGUAGAUAUCAAGCAGAACACCUGCGGCGAAGGCGGCCUUCUGGACGAUGACUGACGCUGAGACACGAAAGCGUGGGGAGCAAACAGG